GCUUCCUCAUCGCUACCAUUUUUUCUGAGAACCCCCAGGGGCAUAUGUGAGUGGGCGAGUAGAAUGUCGGUAUAACCGGAUACUAACAGAGCCGGUGUCUCAGUUCACAAUGAAGGGAGCAAAGUGUCGUCUCCGAAUCUGUUACAGGGCCUUUUCCUAGAAGACCAGGGGGCUGAAGACAAAGGCUCGCGUGAUUCCAGGGGACCCACCCGGCUAAUCCAGGAUAAUCUCCCCAUUUCAAGGUUGAGUGACAGAUUCCACUGUGAACUCAAAAUCACGCUCUCCAAAGAUAAAGAAACUGAAGCUCAGAGAGGUGAAUGACCUUCUGGCGGUCACACAGCCAGGAAGAGGUGGAGCCUGGAUCUGCUGCCCCUGGGCCCUUUGGAGCAGGUGGGCUCCAAAGAUAUACUCUGCCGAUUUCUUAAGGGGUGAGGAGGACUGUGGAUAUGUUCAUAACCCCCUCUCCAGGCCCCAGGAACACCCAGUGCCCAGGUCCUGCCAGCCAGGCAACCUUGUGCCUGCAAGCCCUGGCAGCCUGUCCGGGCCCAGAUCCAUCACCCCGGCACCAACCAUGCCCUGGGCCUGACUCCGUCCAUCCCUCUAAUGCCGCAUCGACUGUGCUCGGGCACGUUCCUGAGGCGGCCUCAAGAGCGCUGAAUAAUUCAGUUCUGCGUAAUGGGAUAAUGAAUUUACUGACAACCCAGUGGGGUCUCGGUACUUACAUUUCAAGAAAUACUGACUCCCUAGGCCUGCUCUGCAGGCUGGAGACGUACACGUGCCAAGAAACUGUUGCCUUUACUUGCCUCGUGGGGUUCAGGCUUGACUGAAUGGAGACCCUACUUUGGUCUCACUGACUGUUAAACUGCUUCGGCUAGUGGGGAGCCUGGGGGUAGGGCGACUGCCUAGUUGGAACUUUGGGGCGAGGUGGAAGUGAAAUCACAGAAGAUUGGACAUGCAGAGCUGGAAAGGACCCCUUGGUGCUGCAUACCCAUUUUAUGAACCGGGAAACUGAGGUUGUGGUAAGGACGGGCCUCUGCUCCUGCACACUGUGUUCUGUGGCUGGGAACGCCGGGGAUGCCUCAGGACUCCGGGAAGGUGACCUGCUUGUUUUCCUUCUAACCCGCUGUUUUCCCCGUCCCCCAGCUGCUGAAGGGUUGCUGCUAAUGACUCCCAGCUGCCCCUUCGCUGGAGAUGAGCCCUCAGCCAAACGAGAGGCGUCCCCUGGAAGGCCGGCCCACCCUGCCUUCCUUUCCCGACCUGGGCAGACGAUGGCUGAUGACUGGCUGAUGUGGUGCAAAAGGCCACCCCGAGCCUCAAGGCCGUGACAUGAUUAAUCGUUUUCUUCUGAUCUAAUUUUGGAACAUGAAAAACAGCACAUUUGUCUUGAAGAAAAAUGAUGUGCCGAACUGCGCAGAUGGAAAUUUCGAGCAAUGAGAAAGAUUAAAGUGAAACCCCACUCCUUAGACCUAAUCAUGAGUUGUAGAUUAUUCUGUCGGCCCAGCCAGAUGGUAGCUCUGAUUCCACAGCCCCUUCUUAUAUUAAUGAAUACUAGACUGUUAUAUUUGACUUAGGUAAGUGAAAUGUCUAUCAGAGCUAAUGGACUGCCAGCCAACAUAACACAUGUUGUACCGCUAAGGGUCCUUGCUGCAUUUUUCAUGUUUUAUACUAAUGUAGAACAUUUUGUUUCCUACUGUUUUUCAUCAUUGUCACUGUUUGCUAAAUAUUUUCACAUGGAAGCGGGGAGAGGGAGACAGAGUCAGGAGGAAAAAGAACCCCCCUCCAAACUUGUGUCCAAAGCUAAUUUCCUCCCGUUGGGCUUGGCUAUAACUCUACAAGUAAAACAGUCACCCCGAGCAAUGCGUACAGAAACUCAAUAGUAACGUGAUUAAGUUCCUAGUCAACAAGACUACACUCCACUGUAUGUUAACAAACCUAAUUAUAGCCCCGUGGUGAUAAAUUCGGCCAGGGCCCUUGCUGCACAUCUCUGAGGUCAUGUCUCCAAAAGCAGCUUGACCCUCAUGUCCCAGGGGAGAGGAUUGUCCGGGAGAGGAUUCCCAGCCUCAGCUUGGGGGGAGGGGCUGUUCCUCCUUCACCCCCUUGUCCAGUCCCUGGGGAAGGUGGGCAGAUGCUAGGAAAUACUGCAGAGCAGAGGUCAGAGGUCUGAGCAACUGGGCAGUAGGCUUUCCUGGCUGAGGCUGGGAUGGCAUUCGGAGCCGCUGGCCCCAUCCGCGUCAUAAACAGUAACAGGAUGCCUGAGAAGGGAGUGUAGUGCUCCCAGCCUGUUGGUCCCAUGCAGGCCUGGGGGCACCCCCUCUGGGCCCAGUAGAGGGUGGCUCAGUCCCUUCCCCUUCUUCCAGAUGCCUUGUCCAUACACUGGAAAGCCCCUGAAGAGCUAGCCGUGCAAAAGGCAAUCCUCUUGUUUGUGAAGGACCCAAGCCUGGGUGGGGAUAGUGUCCUGGAGAAAAGGAGUCCCGCAGAUGGAAUCCUAAAGGUGUCUGGGGACAGAUAAGAUGGAGGUAGUUGAGGGACAUCUUCAAGGGGUGGUGUCUUGAGAAAAAAAUGGAAAGAAAUACAUAGGGAGGAGAGACUGCGAGAAAUGAAAACACAUGGAGAGAGAUGGAAGGAAGAGACAAACGCACACAGAGAGAGACAUAGACGUAAAGAAAUGUAGAUACCAACAGAAUAGAUGGCUUGUGAACUCAGAGAAACUCUUCUUGCUCCAGCCAAAAUGAGUUCCCUAAAAAGCACAUCUGACCCCUGCUUAAAAAUUCUCUCUUGGCUGUGAUUCCCAUAGGAGUCAGUUCAAAUGUCUUGGCUGGGUAUAGAUGACCCUUUUCCAUUUGCCCCUAACUUACCUCUCUGGCCUCUUCUCUCACCUUGAACCCUCCACUUUUGGGUAUGAACCUCCACAUGAGCCUUCUCCGGGUCCCCAAGAAUGCCAGGUUCUUUCAGAACAAUGUGCUUUUGUCUGUGUUUUAUCUCUAUCCUACUUCCUUGCAUUCUUUCUCUGGCAAACUCCUACUCAACCUUCAAGACCCAGCUCCCAUGUGUCCUCCCCUGCCACAUUUUCCUGACAUUCCCCAGGAGGCAUUAUUUCACCCUCUGGCUCCCCCAUAGCAUUCUGUCCAUAUCCAUGUGAAAAUAUUGUCCAGGCUGUAUUGAAAAAUGUCUGUUUACAGAUCUCUCCCUCUAUACCUCCCUUCCUUUACAGCUGUUCCU
Long non-coding RNA from Physeter macrocephalus (sperm whale), 3219 nucleotides. RefSeq lists it as uncharacterized. The transcript is spliced from 6 exons. The record is from RefSeq and is a predicted model, not a curated record. Lineage: Eukaryota; Metazoa; Chordata; Mammalia; Artiodactyla; Physeteridae.